AUGUCUACGGACCAAAGUGUGGGACCUUCGGGCCACAUGCUAUCGGAUGCGCCUACGUGGGAUUAGCUAGUUGGUGAGGUAAUGGCUCACCAAGGCGACGAUCCCUAGCUGGUUUGAGAGGAUGAUCAGCCACACUGGAACUGAGACACGGUCCAGACUCCUACGGGAGGCAGCAGCGGGGAAUAUUGGACAAUGGGCGCAAGCCUGAUCCAGCCAUGCCGCGUGUGUGAAGAAGGCCUUCGGGUUGUAAAGCACUUUCAGUUGGGAGGAAGCGUUGCGUGUUAAUAGUACACAGCCUUGACGUUACCAACAGAAGAAGCACCGGCUAACUCUGUGCCAGCAGCCGCGGUAAUACAGAGGGUGCAAGCGUUAAUCGGAAUUACUGGGCGUAAAGCGCACGUAGGCGGUUUUUCAAGUCAGAUGUGAAAGCCCCGGGCUCAACCUGGGAAUUGCAUUUGAAACUGGAAAACUAGAGUGUGUGAGAGGGGGGUAGAAUUCCAAGUGUAGUGGGUGAAAAUGCGUAGAGAUUUUGGAGGAAUACCAGUGAGCGAAGGCGGCCCCCUGGCACAACACUGAACGCUUCAGGUGCGAAAAGCGUGGGGGAGCAAACAGGAUUAGAUACCCUGGUAGUCCACGCCGUAAACGAUGUCUACUAGCUGUUCGUGACCUUGUGUCGUGAGUAGCGCAGCUAACGCACUAAGUAGACCGCCUGGGGAGUACGGUCGCAAGAUUAAAACUCAAAUGAAUUGACGGGGGCCCGCACAAGCGGUGGAGCAUGUGGUUUAAUUCGACGCAACGCGAAGAACCUUACCUACUCUUGACAUCUACAGAAGACUGCAGAGAUGCGGUUGUGCCUUCGGGAACUGUAAGACAGGUGCUGCAUGGCUGUCGUCAGCUCGUGUUGUGAAAUGUUGGGUUAAGUCCCGCAACGAGCGCAACCCUUAUCCUUAGUUGCCAGCACGUAAUGGUGGGAACUCUAGGGAGACUGCCGGUGAUAAACCGGAGGAAGGUGGGGACGACGUCAAGUCAUCAUGGCCCUUACGAGUAGGGCUACACACGUGCUACAAUGGUAUGUACAGAGGGAGGCAAGCUGGCGACAGUGAGCGGAUCUCUUAAAGCAUAUCGUAGUCCGGAUCGCAGUCUGCAACUCGACUGCGUGAAGUCGGAAUCGCUAGUAAUCGCAAAUCAGAAUGUUGCGGUGAAUACGUUCCCGGGCCUUGUACACACCGCC
This 1231-nucleotide ribosomal RNA is filed under the name uncultured Rheinheimera sp. RNAcentral describes it as "bacterial SSU rRNA". It matches the Rfam family "Bacterial small subunit ribosomal RNA", at positions 190 to 1394 of the family's 1533-position model. Lineage: Bacteria; Pseudomonadati; Pseudomonadota; Gammaproteobacteria; Chromatiales; Chromatiaceae. The record is from RNAcentral.